AUACGGAGGAUCCGAGCGUUAUCAGGAUUUAUUGGGUUUAAAGGGAGCGUAGGUGGAUUGUUAAGUCAGUUGUGAAAGUUUGCGGCUCAACCGUAAAAUUGCAGUUGAUACUGGUUUCCUUGAGUACGGUACAGGUGGGCGGAAUUCGUGGUGUAGCGGUGAAAUGCUUAGAUAUCACGAAGAACUACGAUCGCGAAGGCAGCUCACCGGGCCGGAACUGACACUGAUGCUCGAAAGUGCUGGUAUCAACCAGGAUUAGAUACCCUGGUAGUCCGCACAGUAAACGAUGAAUACACGCUGUUUGCGAUAUACAGUAAGCGGCCAAGCGAAAGCGUUAAGUAUUCCACCUGGGGAGUACGCCGGCAACGGUGAAACUCAAAGGAAUUGGCGUGG
RNAcentral lists this ribosomal RNA (393 nucleotides) under uncultured bacterium. Its description in RNAcentral is "partial 16S ribosomal RNA". It matches the Rfam family "Bacterial small subunit ribosomal RNA", at positions 523 to 918 of the family's 1533-position model. The record is from RNAcentral.